AAAUUGGACUUAAAGUGUUGCGACACACACUAAAAAUACUAUGAAUGUUAGCAUUAAAGACUUGUUGAGCUGCUGUCAAAGUGUAAUGGUAGACAGACAAAUGAUUAUGUGACCACUAACCCUCAACCCAGCGAGGAGCCAGAUCUCCUGGUUCUGCUUGUGUGUGUCCCUGUGGUGGUGGUUGUGCUGCUGGCUAUUGUUCUGCUGCUCAUUUACAGAAACAGGACUAAGCACUCUGAUGGU
Molecule: long non-coding RNA, 243 nt
Organism: Centropristis striata (black sea bass)
Lineage: Eukaryota; Metazoa; Chordata; Actinopteri; Perciformes; Serranidae
Exons: 3
Source: RefSeq, a predicted model, not a curated record